This 1474-nucleotide long non-coding RNA is filed under the name Homo sapiens (human). Its description in RNAcentral is "non-protein coding LINC01303:40". Lineage: Eukaryota; Metazoa; Chordata; Mammalia; Primates; Hominidae. The record is from RNAcentral.
GCAUUGGCUCUUCCUGCUGCCAGCCAGGCGGCUGCUGGUUGACGUUGGAGUUGUACAGUUUAUGUGAUAGUGAUGACAGCGCUGGCUCUGAAGGGUACUGAAGAUUUUGAAGGGGUACUUCGCUGCAGCAGCUUCACCUCUCACUUUUGUUUACCCACCCCCGAGGCUUGUGGGAGAGAAGGAUCAGGCAGAGCUCUGCACGUGCCAUGCCAGGGGUGGAGGAAUUAUAUUUUUAUUUUUUGCUUUCUCUGCUACAGGACAUACCAUGCCUUUUACAGAUAUUUAUAGGACAAUUUCCCUCCUGAGAGUGCCCAAGCAUGGGGGAUGGUGAGGAAGAUGACUGAAGGAGAAAGCAGGAAAAGGGGGUGUCUGCAUGUAUGAGGAUUGGAAGCCCUGGACAACUUUCAGGAAGACAGUUCUGGUCUGUAGCAAUUAACACAUGGUCAUCCUCAGAAAAAGGAGAUACCCAUAACUUAAAAUGCAGGAACCAAGAGAUUUGAGCCUAGACAUUUGGAUGAAAAGCGAUUUCCACCUGGAGAAAGUCACUGCCCUUCUGUGCAGAGACUCUUCCAGCUGACCUACUAAGGCUGCCCCUUGACCUUGAGUACAAAUGGCACUCAUGCCCAAACAGCCGCUUGACCAGAGCCAACCGACAACCUCCUGUGAGUUUCUCAGCCCCAGGCUGGAUCUGCAGUACCAUUGUGUCUUGAAUCCAGCUUGGCCAUAAGGAAAUGGGGCGAGACUUUGUCAUGUAUGUCGCUGAAGUUCAGCUAUGCAAAAAUGUUCACCUAUCCUUGAUCAACCAGUCCAGGAACCAUCAAAGAAGAAAAUGAGAUUCGACUUAGAAGACCUGUUCUUUAUAAACCCCUGCACAGCCCUAAUGAUCAACACCACUUCCAGUGCUCAUAAAUUACUGCUUCAAUAAUUGUUCUGCAAUUCUGCCUAUUCUCAUUGAAUGCUUCGUAUAAUCCCUUUAUUUACUUUGGGCUACGAUUCAUUUUUAUCAGUCAAAUGACUACUAGACUAUCCUGGUUUCUAAUUUGAAAUGUAUCCAAAGAAGAUUCCUGUCUCACCCUCUGCAAUCCACUUGCAUGUCUGACCACACUCGGUGCCUACACAAUCUUCACUUUGUCUAGCCUAAAUUCUUCUAACUGUGGCCUAAGGCCUUGGAAGAAUGAUGCCUCUGUGGGGUAAGAACUGCCUUCGUGGCAUAAGAAAGGCAGACCUGGGUGAUCUGGAAGGGCUGUUGCAAGGGGAUAGGAGUGCUGAGGCCUUUUCCAUUAAGAAUACACAGGACUAUGGAGACUCUUGUUUUACUAGAAACUUCUUCACAGAUACCUUAAAUUAGGAAGAAAAUGCCUUUGGUUCUUGGUUCUACUAUUGGCUUCAAAUUCUUAGGCAUGCCAGACCCUACUGAACAUCUUGACACAUGUCCUUUCUUCUCUGAACUGGCGCACAGGCAUGGUGAGUAACU